UACGUAGGGGGCAAGCGUUGUCCGGAUUUAUUGGGCGUAAAGAGCGUGUAGGCGGCUGGGUAGGUCCGUUGUGAAAACUCGAGGCUCAACCUCGAGACGCCGAUGGAAACCCUCCAGCUAGAGUCCGGAAGAGGAGAGUGGAAUUCCUGGUGUAGCGGUGAAAUGCGCAGAUAUCAGGAGGAACACCGGUGGCGAAGGCGGCAUCCUGGACCGGCAUUGACGCUGAGGCGCGAAAGCCAGGGGAGCAAACGGG
This 253-nucleotide ribosomal RNA is filed under the name uncultured bacterium. Its description in RNAcentral is "partial 16S ribosomal RNA". It matches the Rfam family "Bacterial small subunit ribosomal RNA", at positions 524 to 776 of the family's 1533-position model. The record is from RNAcentral.